This 1342-nucleotide long non-coding RNA is filed under the name Homo sapiens (human). RNAcentral describes it as "non-protein coding MIR22HG:27". The record is from RNAcentral. Lineage: Eukaryota; Metazoa; Chordata; Mammalia; Primates; Hominidae.
CUGUAUCUUGUCCUCCGCUUGUGAAAAACUCAAGGAUGUGGAGAAGAGUAGACCGUGGAACCCUGCUCUUCUGCAGCCAAGCUGAGGGGCAGGAUGCGUGUGGGACAGUGGUAGAGAAGCAGGGGAUAGACUCAUAGGCUGCAACAAAGGUGACUCUGUCCCUGGACACUGCCUCCGUACUUUCUCCUUGCUUCACUGGCCACAGCAUCUCCCUCCAGCCCUCGCUAUGUGCCUCUGCCAUCUUCACCCAUCAUGGAGCAGAGGUGAGGAGAGGCAGCCUGGGAAUAUGGAGACCAGUGAAGGACCAGGCCUGGAGAGCACAGGGUCCUACCUGGGCAUCCAGCAGAGGAGCCCCUAAAGGCCAGGAGCACCCCAAGAGGAGGGAGGGCAGCCAGCCUCCAUUGACGGCGAGCCUCCAGCCCUCUCCUACUUUGAUCACCAUUUCUCUCCAGGCUUUCUGCCUCCGAGAUGUGGCACCAUAGUGCGGUGCCCUGUGGCUUCACCGCCCUACUUCCACCUCCGCCCAGCCUGUAAUGUUUAUAUAAGCAGCCUCAAGGACCAAGAACCAUCUGCGAAAGGACACACACAGGAAAUUCAUAAAAGAAAUCUGAAUGGAUAAAACCAUGAAAAAAAGUAUGCUUCAUUAGUAAUUAAAGAAAGGCAAAUAGAGCUGGAAGCAUUUUUCCCUUAGCAAACCAUAACAGAAAAAAAUAAGACCCAAUAUUGGCAAAGAGACUACUGAAAAAACAUUCCCAUACAUUGCGUGUGGGAGUAUACAUCGGUGCAGGCUUCCUGGAUGACAGUUGGGUGAUAUGUGUCAUGUGGCCUAAAAGCCUCCAUGUCAUUUGACCUACGAAUUCUAUCUUUGGGAAUUUAUCCUAAGAAAAUACUUAAGGAUUUAGUUAGUGAUAAGAUGUUCAUCCCAGCAUUGCAAUGGAGAAAAAUGGGAAGCAAUGGUUUGGUUGGGAAUUUAUUCCUUUUCUGCUGUAACGAAAGUUUGCAAUAGGGGAUUGCUUAAGUAAAUUAUUGUAUCUCCAUCCAGAUGGUGGAGUACCGCGCAGACAUUAAAAGUCAUGUAAAAGAACAUCUGACUGAAAGAAAAAUGCUCCUUGAAUAUUAAAAGGUUGUAAAAAUAGUGCAUGUUAUGUGAUUUCAAUUUUGUUUUUUAAAAUAUGGGUGUAUGCUUGUAUACGUAGAGCAGAUAAAAAAGACGGAAGGCAUACUAAAAAAUGUUGAGUGGUUAUCUUUGUAUGGUGGAACAAAGUCACUGUAAUUUUCAUCUUUGGUUUUUCUGUAAUUUCCAAAUUUUCCACAUUUUGUAUUUCAUAUAAUAUAAUUUAAG